This 253-nucleotide ribosomal RNA is filed under the name uncultured bacterium. RNAcentral describes it as "partial 16S ribosomal RNA". It matches the Rfam family "Bacterial small subunit ribosomal RNA", at positions 524 to 776 of the family's 1533-position model. The record is from RNAcentral.
UACGAAGGGGGCUAGCGUUGCUCGGAAUUACUGGGCGUAAAGGGCGCGUAGGCGGAUGUCUAAGUCGGGGGUGAAAGCCCAGGGCUCAACCCUGGAAUUGCCUUCGAUACUGGACAUCUUGAGUACGGGAGAGGUGAGUGGAACUCCGAGUGUAGAGGUGAAAUUCGUAGAUAUUCGGAAGAACACCAGUGGCGAAGGCGACUCACUGGCCCGUUACUGACGCUGAGGCGCGAAAGCGUGGGGAGCAAACAGG